Molecule: ribosomal RNA, 451 nt
Filed under: uncultured organism
Description: partial 16S ribosomal RNA
Rfam family: Bacterial small subunit ribosomal RNA
Source: RNAcentral
ACGUACACUCCUGCGGGAAGCAGCAGUGGGGAAUAUUGGACAAUGGGCGCAAGCCUGAUCCAGCCAUGCCGCGUGAGUGAUGAAGGCCCUAGGGUUGUAAAGCUCUUUCACCGGUGAAGAUAAUGACGGUAACCGGAGAAGAAGCCCCGGCUAACUUCGUGCCAGCAGCCGCGGUAAUACGAAGGGGGCUAGCGUUGUUCGGAUUUACUGGGCGUAAAGCGCACGUAGGCGGACUAUUAAGUCAGGGGUGAAAUCCCGGGGCUCAACCCCGGAACUGCCUUUGAUACUGGUAGUCUUGAGUUCGAGAGAGGGGAGUGGAAUUCCGAGUGUAGAGGUGAAAUUCGUAGAUAUUCGGAGGAACACCAGUGGCGAAGGCGGCUCACUGGCUCGAUACUGACGCUGAGGUGCGAAAGCGUGGGGAGCAAACAGGAUUAGAAACCCUAGUAGUCCC